GGGUUGUGAGGUUAAGCGACUAAGCGUACACGGUGGAUGCCCUGGCAGUCAGAGGCGAUGAAGGACGUGCUAAUCUGCGAAAAGCGUCGGUAAGGUGAUAUGAACCGUUAUAGCCGGCGAUGUCCGAAUGGGGAAACCCAGUGCAAUUCGUUGCACUAUCGUUAACUGAAUACAUAGGUUAACGAGGCGAACCGGGGGAACUGAAACAUCUAAGUACCCCGAGGAAAAGAAAUCAACCGAGAUUCCCCCAGUAGCGGCGAGCGAACGGGGAGCAGCCCAGAGUCUGAAUCAGCUUGUGUGUUAGUGGAACGGUCUGGAAAGUCCGACGGUACAGGGUGAUAGUCCCGUACACCAAAAUGCACAGGUUGUGAACUCGAAGAGUAGGGCGGGACACGUGGUAUCCUGUCUGAAUAUGGGGGGACCAUCCUCCAAGGCUAAAUACUCCUGACUGACCGAUAGUGAACCAGUACCGUGAGGGAAAGGCGAAAAGAACCCCGGCGAGGGGAGUGAAAAAGAACCUGAAACCGUGUACGUACAAGCAGUGGGAGCACCUUCGGGUGUGACUGCGUACCUUUUGUAUAAUGGGUCAGCGACUUAUAUUCUGUAGCAAGGUUAACCGUAUAGGGGAGCCGCAGGGAAACCGAGUCUUAACUGGGCGUUAAGUUGCAGGGUAUAGACCCGAAACCCGGUGAUCUAGCCAUGGGCAGGUUGAAGGUUGGGUAACACUAACUGGAGGACCGAACCGACUAAUGUUGAAAAAUUAGCGGAUGACUUGUGGCUGGGGGUGAAAGGCCAAUCAAACCGGGAGAUAGCUGGUUCUCCCCGAAAGCUAUUUAGGUAGCGCCUCGUGAACUCAUCUUCGGGGGUAGAGCACUGUUUCGGCUAGGGGGUCAUCCCGACUUACCAACCCGAUGCAAACUACGAAUACCGAAGAAUGUUAUCACGGGAGACACACGGCGGGUGCUAACGUCCGUCGUGAAGAGGGAAACAACCCAGACCGCCAGCUAAGGUCCCAAAGUCAUGGUUAAGUGGGAAACGAUGUGGGAAGGCACAGACAGCCAGGAUGUUGGCUUAGAAGCAGCCAUCAUUUAAAGAAAGCGUAAUAGCUCACUGGUCGAGUCGGCCUGCGCGGAAGAUGUAACGGGGCUAAACCAUGCACCGAAGCUGCGGCAGCGACACUAUGUGUUGUUGGGUAGGGGAGCGUUCUGUAAGCCUGCGAAGGUGUGCUGUGAGGCAUGCUGGAGGUAUCAGAAGUGCGAAUGCUGACAUAAGUAACGAUAAAGCGGGUGAAAAGCCCGCUCGCCGGAAGACCAAGGGUUCCUGUCCAACGUUAAUCGGGGCAGGGUGAGUCGACCCCUAAGGCGAGGCCGAAAGGCGUAGUCGAUGGGAAACAGGUUAAUAUUCCUGUACUUGGUGUUACUGCGAAGGGGGGACGGAGAAGGCUAUGUUAGCCGGGCGACGGUUGUCCCGGUUUAAGCAUGUAGGCUGAUUGUCCAGGCAAAUCCGGAUAAUCAAGGCUGAGGUGUGAUGACGAGGCACUACGGUGCUGAAGUAACAAAUGCCCUGCUUCCAGGAAAAGCCUCUAAGCAUCAGGUAACAUCAAAUCGUACCCCAAACCGACACAGGUGGUCAGGUAGAGAAUACCAAGGCGCUUGAGAGAACUCGGGUGAAGGAACUAGGCAAAAUGGUGCCGUAACUUCGGGAGAAGGCACGCUGGUGUGUAGGUGAAGCCCCUGCGGGUGGAGCUGAGACCAGUCGAAGAUACCAGCUGGCUGCAACUGUUUAUUAAAAACACAGCACUGUGCAAACACGAAAGUGGACGUAUACGGUGUGACGCCUGCCCGGUGCCGGAAGGUUAAUUGAUGGGGUUAUCCGUAAGGAGAAGCUCUUGAUCGAAGCCCCGGUAAACGGCGGCCGUAACUAUAACGGUCCUAAGGUAGCGAAAUUCCUUGUCGGGUAAGUUCCGACCUGCACGAAUGGCGUAAUGAUGGCCAGGCUGUCUCCACCCGAGACUCAGUGAAAUUGAACUCGCUGUGAAGAUGCAGUGUACCCGCGGCAAGACGGAAAGACCCCGUGAACCUUUACUAUAGCUUGACACUGAACAUUGAGCCUUGAUGUGUAGGAUAGGUGGGAGGCUUUGAAGCGUGGACGCCAGUCUGCGUGGAGCCAACCUUGAAAUACCACCCUUUAAUGUUUGAUGUUCUAACGUUGGCCCCUUACCGGGGUUGCGGACAGUGUCUGGUGGGUAGUUUGACUGGGGCGGUCUCCUCCCAAAGCGUAACGGAGGAGCACGAAGGUUAGCUAAUCCUGGUCGGACAUCAGGAGGUUAGUGCAAUGGCAUAAGCUAGCUUGACUGCGAGCGUGACGGCGCGAGCAGGUGCGAAAGCAGGUCAUAGUGAUCCGGUGGUUCUGAAUGGAAGGGCCAUCGCUCAACGGAUAAAAGGUACUCCGGGGAUAACAGGCUGAUACCGCCCAAGAGUUCAUAUCGACGGCGGUGUUUGGCACCUCGAUGUCGGCUCAUCACAUCCUGGGGCUGAAGUAGGUCCCAAGGGUAUGGCUGUUCGCCAUUUAAAGUGGUACGCGAGCUGGGUUUAGAACGUCGUGAGACAGUUCGGUCCCUAUCUGCCGUGGGCGCUGGAGAAUUGAGGGGGGCUGCUCCUAGUACGAGAGGACCGGAGUGGACGCAUCACUGGUGUUCGGGUUGUCAUGCCAAUGGCACUGCCCGGUAGCUAAAUGCGGAAGAGAUAAGUGCUGAAAGCAUCUAAGCACGAAACUUGCCCCGAGAUGAGUUCUCCCUGAGACUUUAAGUCUCCUGAAGGAACGUUGAAGACGACGACGUUGAUAGGCCGGGUGUGUAAGCGCAGCGAUGCGUUGAGCUAACCGGUACUAAUGAACCGUGAGGCUUAACCUUACAACGCCGAAG
Molecule: ribosomal RNA, 2923 nt
Filed under: Klebsiella pneumoniae
Lineage: Bacteria; Pseudomonadati; Pseudomonadota; Gammaproteobacteria; Enterobacterales; Enterobacteriaceae
Also listed under: 1 other name
Description: bacterial LSU rRNA
Rfam family: Bacterial large subunit ribosomal RNA
Source: RNAcentral